Molecule: long non-coding RNA, 3715 nt
Organism: Sapajus apella (tufted capuchin)
Lineage: Eukaryota; Metazoa; Chordata; Mammalia; Primates; Cebidae
Exons: 2
Source: RefSeq, a predicted model, not a curated record
CAGCCUGGGUGACAGAAUGAGAUUCUGUCUCAAAAAAAAAAAAAAAAAAAAAAAAAAAAAGCUGAAACACUGCUCUAAGAAACAGAUCAAUAUCAGUCAUUUCCCCCUUGGAUAGGCCGCUCAUUUCUGGACUGGAUGCUCUAGAAGAAGGUGAGAAAGAUGGCAGAAAAUAUCAGUUUCUGCUGGUGGCAUCUGCCUAAACUGUGCAAAAUCACUUUCAUUCAGGGGGCACUCCCUCUCAGUCUUUCCAUAGUGCUCAUCCAGAUUAGGACCAUCCUCUGAAGCCCCAAGGCAAGGGCCCUCUGGCCUCCUCUACAAUACACCCUGAAGCAACUGAAGGCUUAAAGCAAGGUAACAGAAUUCUUGAUGGCAGAUUGAAAGCCAGCAUACAUUUUAAUAAUUCUAGGAAUAUUCUCGGUUGAAAUGCCUCUGCAGCUUCUACUCUAAUUGACCCUGGGAUGGAAAUCAAGAGGAAAGUAACCUUUGGAAUCUCAGGGAUCAAAGGCAAAACCAGCUGCCUAGUCCUGAGCAGCUGCGCCCAGCAAGCUUCAAUGCCAGCGUGCUCUGCAGGUACCACGGUUGUUUGUAAGUCUGAGCUUCGUGCUAGACUUUCUGCCUACAAGUCCAGCUGCUCCUGUGCCCAGCAUGCACCUGACUCAUUCGAGGUGCUGGUGACUCUCCAGUGAAUCAGGCCUAGUAUUUACCACGUUGGUGCGUGGCUGCUGCUGUUUACAUGGCUACUGUAAGCCAGCAGCUGGUUCAAAACAUUCAUUUUAUCCCCACCCUCAGUAUGUAUGUAGUUACCUUAUUUUCCUAUAUUUUUUCAACUGUUCCAAAUUGACAUCACAAGUCAAAAUGCUUUCUGAAAAAUGAGAGAAGACCUGUCACAAAGCCAACAUCCUAUGUAGAUACUUAGUUCAGCACAGCAUGUGAAGUUCUAAAGUGAGAAUUCUCUCCCUCAGCAGUCUGAAUUUUUUAGCCGUCCUUUACAUAAAUCAUAACCAGAUCUCACUGAUAAUACUAGACUGAUAAGGGGAAGAUUUAUUUAGGAAAGGUAAAACUCCUCAUUUGUAUCACACAGCUUCACUUGUAUAACAAAAGAACAUCCGAAUUCCUCCAAAUUGAACAUAGUCACUAGGAGGCCUUUCCCAGCCUAAAUCAAAAGCACUGCCCUCCCCCGGCCUGCCCUUCACCCACCCCCAUCUAAAUUCAUCAAUUACAAGUCAACAGUGUGGCACUCAGCUCCAGCAUUGUGGGUGGAGACCACGAACAGACAACUGGCGCUCACUCUUCUGGUUUCCUACAGCGUCUUAAAGCUUCUCUAAAGCACAGCUUCCAGCUUUCCUAUCCAGAGUGCAGGAGAGGGCCCUGGGAAGAAGCCCACAAGCCUGCCGAUCUGGUGGAAGAAAAUGCUGGGCCUGGCAGGAAACAAAGCCAGCGCAAUGCCGAAUGCGAAGCUCAGCAACCGUGCACGACAGAGUGCUGUGGGUGCAGCUCCUUUGUGUGCCUGCCGCACGGGUCAGUGGCCAAUCAACAGGCUGGAAACUCAGGGGUUCCCCCUGUUUGGGGCCAGAUUUAUUGUGUAACCUCAGGCAACUCCCGCCUCACUCUGAUUCAGUGCUUUAAUCUGCAAAUCAGGGAUGAAUAUCCAUGUAAUGGUACUGAGGAGCAGUAAAAAGCAUAGAUGACUUCAGAGCCUGCUGCAAGUAGGAAAUACAGCAUGGGAGAGAAGAGGACAAAGAAUUGCUUAGAAGGAAAUAUGCAAAUAUCUCAAAUACAACUUGGGUUUGCUUCUGUUCGGACUGAGAAGAAGGAACAGUAGACAUACAACACACUGACAUCUAAGGGAACCUUAUGAUGUGUGACCAUCUUGAUCACGUUAUCUCCCAACACUCAAGACAGCUCAUCAGCCAGGAAGUUGUUUACGUGGCUUCACUGAGAACUGCACUUCUUCCGAGACCUCAAAUUCCAGGACACUCACUCUACAGUACACUCACUCCUCCACUGCAACUUCUAAAUAUUCAUCGAGAACCUUCUGCCACCCCACCCCACCCAGCAGUCUCCUGACCUUUCUUCCUCACACACCUCCCCUAUGUUAGAUGCAGAAUUACCAGACACCUUUGCUCUCCCACCCCAGUAACCCUAGACCCCAGCGCCCGCCCAUCUUCCUACUCCCACGACACCUCCAGGGCUGCUGGGGAAAUGGAACUUACCAGGCAGGCAGCGUCACCACAAAUGGCGCUCUCUAGCUUUGGGCAGAGUUUUCAGUGCUGCAUGACUAUUCUCAUACUUGUCCCAGACCUUCUCCCUUUCCCAGUCUCUUCGGCGGCCAUGCUAACUUCCCCUCCCAGGGUCAGUCCCCUCACUCUUAAGGCUUCACCUCCUACCUGCUUCGUAGAGAAAGGAGAAGACAUCAGACACACCAGCCACUCCGCCUCCCAGGCCCCCAGUACACCAACGGUCACCAUCCCCUGUACAACAUACUGAUCAGGACCCAGACUAGGGGGAGACAAGGGAGCCAUUUACUUUAGGAGCAAAAUUUAAGGGGGUACCAAAAACUCAGCAUAAUACUUUGAUUUAAUAAAAAAUUUUUAAAAAUUAAAGUUAAGGCAAAAAAUCUACAAUAAACAAAAUGUCCAACCUGUAAACCAAGACAGGAUCCAGCCCUGCGCUUGCACAGCACUGCCUCACCUGACUCCCCUAACCCUGUCCUGCUGACUGGGGCCUACUGUGGGCUGAAUACUGCUGACUUCCAUGGACAUGUCUGCAUUCUUAGUAUAUGUAUAUAUACCAAGUUAAAGUACCAGAAAACAAUACUAGCCCUUACUGUAUACAACGAAGUAUCAUAAAACAAUGAUACUUUAUGUACAGAAUGUAUAUGUGUGUGUACAUAUAUGUAUAUAUAGACAUGAAACCUAAAAUGGCUGUAUGAACCAUAAAUGGAUUAUGUUCCACACAGCCGAAACCCCCAAUCUAGAAUGGAAUCCAACCCCUACCAUAAAACCAUCCUCUUCCUUCAACUGCUGCCAAAACAAGAACCCAGAAAUUCUAUGUAAGAAGGCAGUAUAAUUUCAUGGAAAGACUAACCAAUUGGAAGAAAACUAAGAAAUUUAAUCAUUCCAUUCUAGCUCUGGUUUUUUCCUUGCUGGGGAAAUAAAAUAUUGUAGUGAAACCUAUAUAGAAAAUAAGACUGAAUUGAUGAUUUUCUUCAUUUUAACAAUCAAUUUAAUAUUUGGAGUAUCUCUGUGAGUCAUGAAAAUAUAAUGAUCCCUUUAAAAGUGACAUGCUUAUAAAGCAGGACUAUAUAAGACUCCUCCAGUGAGUCACAAUUUAAAAAAGAAAUUCCUUUAUAUCCUCAUUCUUUUCUACCUUUUACAUUUAAACUUUUAUUACUUAAUAAAGUCCCAUGUGAGAGGGUUUUCAGCUCCUGCCCAGACAUAUCUAAAGGAAAGAAAGAGAAAGUUUCCUGUACCAUCUUCACGCUGCAUUUUGCGCUACAUUCCAAGUUCUCUUCCUGGCUCCUUCUCAUCAUCUGUGUCCUGUUAAGUAUAGCUAAGACCAAUCUUCAGAUCAGGAAGAAUAAGCCCCAGAUUUACUGGAAAAGCUAUAAUUUCAUCUUCAUAGAUUUUUUUCCUUAAUAAAUUAGUUACAAUAAAUAAUUGGUGUUAAGAAAUGUAACUCGUUACUAUUUGGUACUAAUUGCCUAUUCUGUUUG